Long non-coding RNA from Cygnus olor (mute swan), 2160 nucleotides. RefSeq lists it as uncharacterized. NCBI's taxonomy places the organism in Eukaryota, Metazoa, Chordata, Aves, Anseriformes, Anatidae. The transcript has 2 exons. The record is from RefSeq and is a predicted model, not a curated record.
CAUUGGUGCAUAUAACAGGCUCCUUAAACUCUCUGUGCUUAGAUCAACCAGUCACAGAGCAAAUUCAAGAGAAAGGAAACAUUUGCUGUUUCUCUACUCAUCUGCUGACAUAAAGGCUGCAGAAUCUGGCUUUAACAUUGCAGCAAAGCCAAGGAGAGACUCACCUCUACAAAAUCAGAAGGUCCAGCUGAUUUCACCAGGCUCCAUAUGGGCAGCCACUGAGCCACAUACCUUCAGUCCUGGAAGGAUUCUCUCCCAGACAUGCAGAAAAAGGUGGAAAUCUGAAGUGAGAGCUGCUCAGCUAUGGGCAAGCUCUGGAAUGAGUGCAAACCUUCAUAUCACCACAACCUUACUCCUGGGCUGGCAGGGGAGAAAUAGUUUCAGUUCUUGCUUGUUAUUCCUAUUUGUUUCAGAAAUUUUGCACUAACAUGUUUACCUAUCUGCUCAUUUCAAAGUUCCCCACUAUAUGAGAAAAUGAUCAAAUAAUAGUCCUAGAAGAUACAUGGUGCCCCUUUACUUUAGUCUAACUGCAUUUUAAAAUUAGAUAUUUUGGUGUAGCUUGGCCUUUGUUUCCAACGUGUCUAUCUAAUGCAUUAAUAACUGCCUAUGGUGAAGCAGCAGCCUCACUAAUGAUGGAACACAUGUAAUAUCAAUUUAACACCAAUAUAAAUUUUUAUAUAUUUCAACAAUUUUUAGGGCUGCUUGUCUCUAUUUAAUCUAUUGGAGCUUACUGUUACAGCAAAUCAUCUGAAUUUGUCUUGUACUGGGGGUGAUAGGUAUCAACCAGAUGCUCAUUCCCACACCAGACAGUUACUGAAGAAUCUGCACAAAAGUUACAACUUCUCAAAGAGCCAACUUUGCUAUUAAAACUAUGGCAAAGCUUCACUGACCGGACUCACUAUGGGGUGUGAGACCCUGCAAAAGCCACUGUGAUGAUAAAACAUAAAUAUAUAUGUAUACGUAUAUAUAAAGCUUUCAAAAAUUCCAACUAAUAUUGUUUAAUGUGGCUAUCCCAAUUCUCUCACACAAAUGCUAUCAUUCCAUUUCUCAUUAUUUAUAUUCAGUGUGGUUCUUAAGAGAGCAGUGAGCAACAUGCCAUUUUGGAACUGCUGUUACCAAGGGCAUACACAGUUUAAUUAUUAAAACAAAGCUGUUACGUAGCAUGCUCUAAGUGCCACUGCUGCCACUUAGAAACUGAUGUGAUUUGCAUUUCUUUUAAUAAAUUAGGUAUUUAAUUACAUUAUAAAUGUAACCUCUAAUUGAAGUACCUUCUCCCCAUGGGCAUAACUCCGUAAUAAUUUGCACAAGCUACCUAGAAGUGGGUGCAUGCUGCUGCAGAAAUGGAAACCUCACUAAUAAGCACUUAAACAUCAUUCUUGAGGAUUUUUGCAACUUAAUGGACUUUCCCCCAGGAUAUCUCUUUGGAGGAUUUGUUCUGCUGUAUUGUGUUGCCUUUUACUUGUCCUCUACUUGUGGCCAUUUGUUUGUUUGCACUUUUCUCCUUGAUAGCUUUUAUUUUUCAUGCCUGGAUGCCCACUGCUAUCUCCAUAGUAUGUAGAGGUGGAUGCAAGUCCUUGUCUUUGGAUAUUUCAUAGCAAUGGUGUUGCUGAAUUGUUCUAAACCUAUUUAACUGCCUAAACGCAGAUUAAAAUUUUAAUAUCUAUAGUGUUACUGAACUAUUAAGUGAGUUCAGAUAUGUCAGUUUUCUGUGGGUAGUAAUUCAUGGACCCAAUUUAAAAGAGCAGUUCCCUGCUGAGGAUGCCAAGUAAAACUUCAUCAAAUGCGGAAGUCGUGUAUCAGUAUGAUUGCUAAAAAUUUAACAGCUUUAAAGAUAUUUAUUUACCUUAGCCUCUUGACUGGAUCUUGUCUAAGCUGUUGUUUUCUGCUUGUCUAAAAUUUUUUGUCAAUUCAGUAAGGAAUUUCAUUAAUAUUUUAUUUGAUUUGAUUUUAUAUUUUAUUUUAUAUUUUAUUUUAUUUUAUUUUUUCUGUAAGUUACUUCAAACUGCUUGUGGCCAAUUUAACUCACAAAGCAACUGAGUCAAUGAAUUCAAAUAAUAGCUGCCCAUAUUUCUUAUGUUUAGAGAAUGUUGUGAAGUUGGUGAAAACAGAGUAUAAAUCAAUAUAUUUAACCAACAGUAGUGUUUGAUCAGGUCAUAAAAA